CCUCUCUUCCUCUCCUCUCCUCACUUCUCUUGCUUCCUUAUCUGUCAUUCCCGUUCUCCAAACAUAACGAAAUUUUUCUUCAGGCAAAAAAGCUAUAUUCCAAAACUAUAAAGGGUUCCAUCUGGGAGCAAGGCCACGACCAAAACACAACAGAAAAGGAAAAGAAAAGAUACGACCCUAUACUACACUCUACUAUACUAUACACCAUACAAGCAAUGGUCUACGUCCGCCAACAUAAUCUCGCCGCCCUGCGUGCGUACCGUUACGCGGGCGUCGACAAGUCUCUGGUGUCUCGCUACGUGCUGAAACCGUUCUAUACGCAUGUCGUCAUUAAGUGUUUUCCUAUGUCUAUGGCACCAAAUGCUAUCACGCUAACGGGCUUCUGUUUUGUUGUUAUCAACUUCCUGACUCUGCUAUGGUAUAACCCUACCCUAGACCAGGAUUGUCCGCCGUGGGUCUAUCUGAGCUGGGCGCUGGGGCUGUUUCUGUAUCAAACGUUUGAUGCAGUCGACGGGGCUCAAGCACGGAGAACCAGACAGAGUGGGCCUCUUGGUGAACUUUUCGAUCAUGGAGUUGAUGCGUGCAAUACCGCUCUGGAAGUCCUCAUCUUUGCCGGCGCCACAAACCUGGGACAGUCAUGGCUAACCGUAUUGACACUAUUUGCCUCCGCCCUAACCUUCUACGUCCAGACCUGGGACGAAUACUACACCCAAACGCUGACCCUAGGCAUAAUCUCCGGCCCCGUCGAGGGUAUCCUAACCUUAUGCACGGUCUACGCAACAACGGCCAUAAAAGGCGGCGCGAGCUUCUGGCACAAGCCCAUGCUGGCCACCCUAGGCGUCCCCAGCUCCGUCUCCCGCUUUCUCCCCGCCUCUCUCUGCAACCUCCCCUUCACCUCCUGGUACAUCAUCUACGGCGCCUUCGUCCUGCUCUUCAGCACCCUCUCCAGUAUCUUGAACGUCAUGCACGUCCGCCGCCAGCGGAAUCUGGACAUCUACAGACCCCUCCUGGGCCUGUUGCCGGCUGCGGCGAUGUGGGUGCUGGUGUUUUUAUACUUGCAUCUACGCCCCUUGGUGCGCGAGAGACAUCUCGUCCCCUUUGUGAUGUAUGUGGGGCUCAUCAAUGCGUAUUCUGUCGGGCAGAUGAUUAUUGCGCAUUUGGUGAAGAGGGAGUUUCCGUACCGGAAC
This 1187-nucleotide small RNA is filed under the name Histoplasma ohiense. Its description in RNAcentral is "hypothetical lncRNA". Lineage: Eukaryota; Fungi; Ascomycota; Eurotiomycetes; Onygenales; Ajellomycetaceae. The record is from RNAcentral.